GUUAUAUGGUCAAGUGAAGAAGCGCAUACGGUGGAUGCUGGCAGUCAGAGGCGAUGAAAGACGUGGUAGCCUGCGAUAAGCUUCGGGGAGUCGGCAAACAGACUUUGGAUCCGGAGAUCUCUGAAUGGGGAAACCCACCUGGGAUAACCUAGGGUAUCUUGUACU
This 165-nucleotide ribosomal RNA is filed under the name Pseudomonas sp. ATCC 13867. Its description in RNAcentral is "partial 23S ribosomal RNA". It matches the Rfam family "Bacterial large subunit ribosomal RNA", at positions 1 to 159 of the family's 2925-position model. The record is from RNAcentral. Lineage: Bacteria; Pseudomonadati; Pseudomonadota; Gammaproteobacteria; Pseudomonadales; Pseudomonadaceae.